AUAUAUAUAUAUAUAUAUAGACCUAGGCUGGAAUACUAUCAAUAGCACUAAGCAUUUGGUGCUAUUAGGUUUUCCACCUUUGGAUUAAAAAAUAUACCGUUAGGAUAAUAUGGACUCCCUAGGAUUGAGAAGUUGUUGGUUUAAUAUUAUAAUAAUCUAACGAGUGAAAAUAGUUAAAGGGUUAAAUCUAACGGCAUAAAAUUUGAUAGCACCAAAUGCAUGGUGCUAUCGAUAGUAUCCCAGUCGGACUCAUAUAUAAUUGGGCUGAAAUUCUAUUAAUAGUAUCUAGGCUAUUUUACUAUCGAAUUUUUAGUCGUUAGAUAAAAAAUUGUAGGAUUGGAAUGAUAUUGGUCUUCCAGAAUUUAAUAAUUAUUUUUUUUAAAUUUGAGUGGGUGGUUGGUUGAAUAGUAUGAUUUAAAAAAUAAAAUUGAUUAAAAUAUAAAUCUAACGACUAAAAAAUUGAGAAUAAAAAAUAAUUAAAUAUUAUUAAUGGUAUUUUAUU
RNAcentral lists this long non-coding RNA (502 nucleotides) under Ananas comosus (pineapple). RNAcentral's name for it is "long non-coding RNA (ACOM_LNC019599)". Lineage: Eukaryota; Viridiplantae; Streptophyta; Magnoliopsida; Poales; Bromeliaceae. The record is from RNAcentral.